GUUUGAUCAUGGCUCAGAACGAACGCUGGCGGCGUGCCUAACACAUGCAAGUCGAACGAGAAAGGGGCUUCGGCUCCGAGUAAAGUGGCGCACGGGUGAGUAACACGUGGGUAACCUGCCUCUAAGAUUGGGAUAACUCGUCGAAAGAUGAGCUAAUACCGAAUAAGACCACAGUUCCUGCGGGAACGGGGGUCAAAGGUAGCCUCUGCUUGCAAGCUAUCACUUAGAGAUGGGCCUGCGCACCAUUAGCUAGUUGGUAGGGUAACGGCCUACCAAGGCAAAAAUGGUUAGCUGGUCUGAGAGGAUGAUCAGCCACACUGGAACUGAGACACGGUCCAGACUCCUACGGGAGGCAGCAGUGGGGAAUAUUGCGCAAUGGGCGAAAGCUUGACGCAGCAACGCCGCGUGAGUGAUGAAGGCCUUCGGGUCNUAAAGCUCUGUCGGGAGGAACGAAUGCUCCUGAGGUUAACAGCCUCNGGAA
Molecule: ribosomal RNA, 481 nt
Filed under: uncultured bacterium
Lineage: Bacteria
Description: bacterial SSU rRNA
Rfam family: Bacterial small subunit ribosomal RNA
Source: RNAcentral